UGUGAGCCCAUGUAUAGAAACCAUAUAUCCCACCCUUCUAGAGUUUGGAGGAAUACAAGACAAUUAUUCUCUCCUACAAGAACAACAAUUUAUAUACACUCUAAAUACAAAAUUACAAAUACAUUCAGCUCAUAAUAGUUAUCUGCAGUGAACUGCUUGUUUUAUAGAUUGUUUCAUUAAUCUACCAGAAAGCUUCUGAUAGAUUGGAAGACAAUCAUGAGAAUACCCAAUCAAGUGGUAACUAUAACAAUUCAGAAGAUCAAACUCAACUGCCCCCUUAUUCCAGCUCUGCUGAGAGUGCAGAUGAAUCGAUCAUUAGCAUCCCUGUUAGGGGCAUUGAAUUUGAGUUGUCAUGCAGAGGCUGAAGUUUGGCCGUCAUGAGCAGAAAGAAUAAGUGCAUGAAGAUGAAAUUACGCUGCAACACUCUGCGUAAAGAUUCAAUAGCAAUGGUGUAUGUGAUCGGAUCGUUCUUAAGCUGGGGCCCAUGCAAAGAUAAAGUCAGAUGGCAUUGUGUAUAAGAGUUACGGUUUGUAUAUUCGGAAGGUCGGCCCAUAAGCUUGAGACCCGGGCCAUGUGUUUUUUGCACUUAGGACUGAUGCUGUAAUUUGUGGGGGCGACCUCACAGAAGCCACGUUAUCCUUAAGACCGUUGAAAUUUAGGAAGGCCAAUUGGAGCAAUCAUUUAUUUGAUGAAUAUUAUAUAUGUACAUGGAGUUGGCUAUAUUCUCAACUGCGCUAUACAUAUCCUGCAUUGAUUGUACGUGUUUAACUCUUUUCUAGAAAUGUUAUUUGCUUGUCAUAGUUCA
Molecule: long non-coding RNA, 805 nt
Organism: Panicum virgatum (switchgrass)
Lineage: Eukaryota; Viridiplantae; Streptophyta; Magnoliopsida; Poales; Poaceae
Exons: 2
Source: RefSeq, a predicted model, not a curated record